GACGAACGCUGGCGGCGUGCUUAACACAUGCAAGUCGAACGGCAAGGCCCUGCUUUUGUGGGGUGCUCGAGUGGCGAACGGGUGAGUAACACGUGAGUAACCUGCCCUUGACUUUGGGAUAACUUCAGGAAACUGGGGCUAAUACCGGAUAGGAGCUCCUGCUGCAGGGUGGGGGUUGGAAAGUUUCGGCGGUUGGGGUUGGACUCGCGGCUUAUCAGCUUGUUGGUGGGGUAGUGGCUUACCAAGGCUUUGACGGGUAGCCGGCCUGAGAGGGUGACCGGCCACAUUGGGACUGAGAGACGGCCCAGACUCCUACGGGAGGCAGCAGUGGGGAAUAUUGCACAAUGGGCGGAAGCCUGAUGCAGCAACGCCGCGUGUGGGAUGACGGCCUUCGGGUUGUAAACCGCUUUCGCCUGUGACGAAGCGUGAGUGACGGUAAUGGGUAAAGAAGCACCGGCUAACUACGUG
This 468-nucleotide ribosomal RNA is filed under the name uncultured bacterium. Its description in RNAcentral is "partial 16S ribosomal RNA". It matches the Rfam family "Bacterial small subunit ribosomal RNA", at positions 28 to 507 of the family's 1533-position model. The record is from RNAcentral.